This 867-nucleotide ribosomal RNA is filed under the name Escherichia coli. Its description in RNAcentral is "partial 23S ribosomal RNA". It matches the Rfam family "Bacterial large subunit ribosomal RNA", at positions 911 to 1774 of the family's 2925-position model. The record is from RNAcentral. Lineage: Bacteria; Pseudomonadati; Pseudomonadota; Gammaproteobacteria; Enterobacterales; Enterobacteriaceae.
UGUUUCGGCAAGGGGGUCAUCCCGACUUACCAACCCGAUGCAAACUGCGAAUACCGGAGAAUGUUAUCACGGGAGACACACGGCGGGUGCUAACGUCCGUCGUGAAGAGGGAAACAACCCAGACCGCCAGCUAAGGUCCCAAAGUCAUGGUUAAGUGGGAAACGAUGUGGGAAGGCCCAGACAGCCAGGAUGUUGGCUUAGAAGCAGCCAUCAUUUAAAGAAAGCGUAAUAGCUCACUGGUCGAGUCGGCCUGCGCGGAAGAUGUAACGGGGCUAAACCAUGCACCGAAGCUGCGGCAGCGACGCUUAUGCGUUGUUGGGUAGGGGAGCGUUCUGUAAGCCUGUGAAGGUGUGCUGUGAGGCAUGCUGGAGGUAUCAGAAGUGCGAAUGCUGACAUAAGUAACGAUAAAGCGGGUGAAAAGCCCGCUCGCCGGAAGACCAAGGGUUCCUGUCCAACGUUAAUCGGGGCAGGGUGAGUCGACCCCUAAGGCGAGGCCGAAAGGCGUAGUCGAUGGGAAACAGGUUAAUAUUCCUGUACUUGGUGUUACUGCGAAGGGGGGACGGAGAAGGCUAUGUUGGCCGGGCGACGGUUGUCCCGGUUUAAGCGUGUAGGCUGGUUUUCCAGGCAAAUCCGGAAAAUCAAGGCUGAGGCGUGAUGACGAGGCACUACGGUGCUGAAGCAACAAAUGCCCUGCUUCCAGGAAAAGCCUCUAAGCAUCAGGUAACAUCAAAUCGUACCCCAAACCGACACAGGUGGUCAGGUAGAGAAUACCAAGGCGCUUGAGAGAACUCGGGUGAAGGAACUAGGCAAAAUGGUGCCGUAACUUCGGGAGAAGGCACGCUGAUAUGUAGGUGAAGCGACUUGCUC